This 331-nucleotide unclassified non-coding RNA is filed under the name soil metagenome. RNAcentral's name for it is "partial contains small subunit ribosomal RNA, internal transcribed spacer 1, and 5.8S ribosomal RNA". The record is from RNAcentral.
UAGCCGUAGGUGAACCUGCGGCUGGAUCAUUAUCGAGCAAAACAAAAAAACUCUUGGAAUAACAGGAGUGUGGCAGGUCGUUAGGUGCGGUGCAUUUGUUGAUGCGCGUCUGCACGCCACAGUGUCCCAACGGCUAUGCUGGCUCCUACCUUAUGCCGAGAGACUGUCGUCGUAUGCCGUGGUCUCGUCCGAUGGCGUUUGGGUAGCGCUCCUCCGAGAGCGAAGGAUUAAUGAGUACCGGCUGUGGUACCGCCAGCAAAACAAAAACCCCAAUUUAUUUUUAACAAAACACAAAGAAAUAUCAGUCUUACCGGUGGAUCACUCGGUUCGU